This 460-nucleotide ribosomal RNA is filed under the name uncultured bacterium. Its description in RNAcentral is "partial 16S ribosomal RNA". It matches the Rfam family "Bacterial small subunit ribosomal RNA", at positions 338 to 795 of the family's 1533-position model. The record is from RNAcentral.
CCUACGGGUGGCUGCAGUGAGGAAUAUUGGUCAAUGGGCGCGAGCCUGAACCAGCAAAGUAGCGUGAAGGAUGAAUGCCCUACGGGUUGUAAACUUCUUUUAUAAAGGAAUAAAGUGAGGCACGUGUGCCUUUUUGUAUGUCCUUUAUGAAUAAGGAUCGGCUAACUCCGUGCGAGCAGCCGCGGUAAUACGGAGGAUCCGAGCGUUAUCCGGAUUUAUUGGGUUUAAGGGGAGCGGAGAUGGGGUGUUAAGGCAGUUGUGAAAGUUUGUGGCUCAACCGUAAAAUUGCAAUUGAUACUGGCAGUCUUGAGUACAGUUGAGGUAGGCGGAAUUCGUGGUGUAGCGGUGAAAUGCUUAGAUAUCAGGAAGAACUCCGAUUGCGAAGGCAGCUUACUAAGCCGCCACUGACAUUGAUGCUCGAAAGUGUGGGUAUCAAACAGGAUUAGAUACCCGUGUAGUC